UCCUCCCACUACCUCCACCUUGGAUAAACUCUUUUUCCAAGAAGAUGACAUGGUGGCUCACAAUCACAUUGUGAUCCUCAAAAAGAUAAAAGUAGUAUCCCAUGAUUUCUUUAGGAUACCCUAUAAAGCGAGCCCUAAAGGACCUAGCCUUUAACUUGUCUGCCUGCUGUCACUUGACAUGGGUCGGACAUCCUCAAAUCUUGAGAUACCUAAGAGUUAGCUUCUUACCAU
RNAcentral lists this long non-coding RNA (231 nucleotides) under Elaeis guineensis (African oil palm). Its description in RNAcentral is "long non-coding RNA (EGUI_LNC065014)". Lineage: Eukaryota; Viridiplantae; Streptophyta; Magnoliopsida; Arecales; Arecaceae. The record is from RNAcentral.